CGACCACGAUUGUGAUGAUGAUUGUGACGAUGAUUGUGAUGAUCAUGAUGAUUGUGAUGAUAAUGGCCACCACCAUCACCAUCAUCACAGAUGGA
This 95-nucleotide unclassified non-coding RNA is filed under the name Pelosinus propionicus DSM 13327. RNAcentral describes it as "microRNA mir-598". Lineage: Bacteria; Bacillati; Bacillota; Negativicutes; Selenomonadales; Sporomusaceae. The record is from RNAcentral.